Ceratobasidium sp. AG-I is the source of this 99-nucleotide non-coding RNA. The record is from the annotation of a GenBank genome assembly. NCBI's taxonomy places the organism in Eukaryota, Fungi, Basidiomycota, Agaricomycetes, Cantharellales, Ceratobasidiaceae.
GCGUGGAUAGUAUAACGGUUAUUAUCCCGGUUUCCCAUAACCUGGCUUGCUCUAGCAAGACGUCUACCGGGGACGCGAGUUCGACUCUCGCUUCACGCA